Cygnus olor (mute swan) is the source of this 559-nucleotide long non-coding RNA. RefSeq lists it as uncharacterized. The transcript has 3 exons. The record is from RefSeq and is a predicted model, not a curated record. Lineage: Eukaryota; Metazoa; Chordata; Aves; Anseriformes; Anatidae.
UCUUCCGCUUCCGACCGGAAGCACCGCGGCGUAUUUCCGGCCGCCGUUGCCAUGGCAACGCACGCAGCAGCGAGGCCCGCGGGAGGCCCGGCAUGGAGGCGGCCGGCGGGACCGAGCCGCGCCUGGUGGAGCGGCUGCGCGGGCUGCGGAGCCUCCUGGAGGCCCGGCAGCGGCACCUCCGGACCCGCAUCGAGGCCUGCGAGGAGCUGGCGGCGGAGCUGCAGGGGCUGAGGGCCGCCCUCCGCGCCGCCCGCCGCUCGCCGCCCGCUGAACCCGCCCCGAGCGGCAGGAGGGCUUCGCCUGCGGAGGAGGAGGAGGAGGAGGCCGACCCCUGAAACGCCCUUAAGGGACUGCGCUCUGCCUGGUCCGGGGGGAUUGCUCCAAGAGUUUGUCUUCGUACGAGGUCUGGGAUUUGAGCACAGCUGCGCAAGCGCAACUGAGAGGGACUAAGUCUGCAGCUGAAGGCUCCAAAACUUGCUACGUAAUGCCAGGAAUAAAUAAUAAUAAUAAUAAAACUCAGUUAAGUCGGGGAAUGUAGCUUAUUCCCUCAGUUGCGGCC